Molecule: long non-coding RNA, 1223 nt
Filed under: Homo sapiens (human)
Lineage: Eukaryota; Metazoa; Chordata; Mammalia; Primates; Hominidae
Description: HSALNT0349154
Source: RNAcentral
UGGCAAUUCAGUAAACAUUUUAGCAAUUUCUUCUUUCCUGCCUGCUGAAGACUGACUUCCUCCUGCUGCCAAAGUUCUAGAGUCUGGACGUCUGAGAUCAGGGUGCCAGCACUGUCGAGGUCACAGACUGCAGACCUCCUUGUAUCUUCAAAUGGAGGAAAGAGGACAAGAGAGCUCCUGUGGUCCCUUUUAUCAAGAUGAAUGCACAAGGAAAAUGUUGUACAUUUGCACAUUGGAGUACACUUCAGCCAUAAAAAGAAUGAGAUGCUGUCAUUUGCAACAACAGAGUUGUGCAGUCAUCAGUUAUCUUCAUGGGACGAGUAUGUCCGGAGGGGAGGAAAAUCUGAUAAAAAAUAUUGAAAUUCAAUGAAGGCUUCCACUGCUUAACAAAUGUUACAUAGAAUUCUUCACCGAUGUGAGGAACAUCAGUUUGCAAAAGAAACUCUGCACUUUCAGGGAUAAAAAGACUGAGACUCCAAAUGGUGCUCCUAGUAUUGGUGAAGCUUAGGGAGAGAGCCCAUUGUGUUUCUAUCUAACUGCUCUCAGGAAAAGGUAGAAAAUGUCUCAGAUUCCACAAGAAAGAUAGAAUGUGUGAUAAGAUGACAAUCAGGCCACAACAGAAUAUCCUAGUAGGGUACAUAAAUUAGCAUCAACAUGGACCAAUUAGCAAGGAAGUGUCUUCAUAAUAUUCCCGUAAUUAGACUCUCAUUAGCUUGAUAUUUGAUGCUGGACUAACCCUAUUUGAAUGAUAUAAGCACUGGUACUUAGAAUUUUCAGAGACUGGUGCCCCUAAUGGAAAAAUGCAGGAUGAAAUGCUAGUGAAGAUUAACUGGGAGAAAAAUAGGUAAAUGUGAAAAAGAAAACGUGUGUCUGACUGUAUACAGAGUUCUAAUUGUAAAAAAUUAAUCGAAUGUAUAAAAUAUCGACAGCCCAAAUAAAUGUUAUUUUCCUGAAGUACUUAAUUAUCUCCAUGUGUUUCUGGUUUCACUAUGUCAAUCAUUUUAAAAAUAACAAUUUAAGGAAUUAUGUAUGUGAUUGGUUGAGGUUUUCAUUCUUUGAGAUAUUCUGAAAGAUUUCAAUUAUAUCCUAGGCUUUGCUGGAUACCAAAGCUUUUACUAAAGCUUUCCUAAGGCUUUUCUAAAGGUUUCUUAUAGUUCUAAUAUAAUAUUCCUCCCACGGUAUCUAAUGUCCUGGGCUAUCUCCAAUCUAAUAAUAGGAUCUCU